AGAGUUUGAUCAUGGCUCAGGACGAACGCUGGCGGCGUGCCUAACACAUGCAAGUCGAGCGAAGUAUAUCUAAGUGAAGUUUUCGGACAGAACGAAGAUAUAUCUUAGCGGCGGACGGGUGAGUAACGCGUGAGCAACCUGCCUUUCACAAAGGGAUAGCCUCGGGAAACUGGGAUUAAUACCAUAUAAAACUUGCCUUUCGCAUGAAAGGGAAGUCAAAGCGAUAAGCGGUGAAAGAUGGGCUCGCGUCCUAUUAGCUAGUUGGUGAGGUUACGGCUCACCAAGGCGACGAUAGGUAGCCGGCCUGAGAGGGUGAACGGCCACACUGGAACUGAGACACGGUCCAGACUCCUACGGGAGGCAGCAGUGGGGGAUAUUGCACAAUGGAGGAAACUCUGAUGCAGCGACGCCGCGUGAGUGAAGAAGGCCUUCGGGUCGUAAAGCUCUGUCCUAGGGGAAGAUAAUGACGGUACCCUAGGAGGAAGCCCCGGCUAACUACGUGCCAGCAGCCGCGGUAAUACGUAGGGGGCGAGCGUUGUCCGGAAUUACUGGGCGUAAAGAGUUCGUAGGCGGUUUGAUAAGUCAGAUGUGAAAGGCGUAGGCUUAACCUAUGUAAGCAUAUGAAACUGUCAGACUUGAGGUAAGGAGAGGAAAGUGGAAUUCCUAGUGUAGCGGUGAAAUGCGUAGAUAUUAGGAGGAAUACCAGUGGCGAAGGCGACUUUCUGGACUUAAACUGACGCUGAGGAACGAAAGCGUGGGGAGCAAACAGGAUUAGAUACCCUGGUAGUCCACGCCGUAAACGAUGAGUGCUAGGUGUCGGGUAGAAAUAUUCGGUGCCGCAGCUAACGCAAUAAGCACUCCGCCUGGGGAGUACGUACGCAAGUAUGAAACUCAAAGGAAUUGACGG
This 907-nucleotide ribosomal RNA is filed under the name Soehngenia sp. enrichment culture clone B31154. RNAcentral describes it as "bacterial SSU rRNA". It matches the Rfam family "Bacterial small subunit ribosomal RNA", at positions 8 to 916 of the family's 1533-position model. The record is from RNAcentral. Lineage: Bacteria; Bacillati; Bacillota; Tissierellia; Tissierellales; Tissierellaceae.